AAAUUGAAGAGUUUGAUCAUGGCUCAGAUUGAACGCUGGCGGCAGGCCUAACACAUGCAAGUCGAACGGUAACAGGAAGCAGCUUGCUGCUUUGCUGACGAGUGGCGGACGGGUGAGUAAUGUCUGGGAAACUGCCUGAUGGAGGGGGAUAACUACUGGAAACGGUGGCUAAUACCGCAUAACGUCGCAAGACCAAAGAGGGGGACCUUCGGGCCUCUUGCCAUCAGAUGUGCCCAGAUGGGAUUAGCUUGUUGGUGAGGUAACGGCUCACCAAGGCGACGAUCCCUAGCUGGUCUGAGAGGAUGACCAGCCACACUGGAACUGAGACACGGUCCAGACUCCUACGGGAGGCAGCAGUGGGGAAUAUUGCACAAUGGGCGCAAGCCUGAUGCAGCCAUGCCGCGUGUAUGAAGAAGGCCUUCGGGUUGUAAAGUACUUUCAGCGGGGAGGAAGGUGUUGCGGUUAAUAACCGCAGCAAUUGACGUUACCCGCAGAAGAAGCACCGGCUAACUCCGUGCCAGCAGCCGCGGUAAUACGGAGGGUGCAAGCGUUAAUCGGAAUUACUGGGCGUAAAGCGCACGCAGGCGGUCUGUCAAGUCGGAUGUGAAAUCCCCGGGCUCAACCUGGGAACUGCAUUCGAAACUGGCAGGCUUGAGUCUUGUAGAGGGGGGUAGAAUUCCAGGUGUAGCGGUGAAAUGCGUAGAGAUCUGGAGGAAUACCGGUGGCGAAGGCGGCCCCCUGGACAAAGACUGACGCUCAGGUGCGAAAGCGUGGGGAGCAAACAGGAUUAGAUACCCUGGUAGUCCACGCCGUAAACGAUGUCUACUUGGAGGUUGUGCCCUUGAGGCGUGGCUUCCGGAGCUAACGCGUUAAGUAGACCGCCUGGGGAGUACGGCCGCAAGGUUAAAACUCAAAUGAAUUGACGGGGGCCCGCACAAGCGGUGGAGCAUGUGGUUUAAUUCGAUGCAACGCGAAGAACCUUACCUGGUCUUGACAUCCACAGAACUUUCCAGAGAUGGAUUGGUGCCUUCGGGAACCGUGAGACAGGUGCUGCAUGGCUGUCGUCAGCUCGUGUUGUGAAAUGUUGGGUUAAGUCCCGCAACGAGCGCAACCCUUAUCCUUUGUUGCCAGCGGUCCGGCCGGGAACUCAAAGGAGACUGCCAGUGAUAAACUGGAGGAAGGUGGGGAUGACGUCAAGUCAUCAUGGCCCUUACGACCAGGGCUACACACGUGCUACAAUGGCGCAUACAAAGAGAAGCGACCUCGCGAGAGCAAGCGGACCUCAUAAAGUGCGUCGUAGUCCGGAUUGGAGUCUGCAACUCGACUCCAUGAAGUCGGAAUCGCUAGUAAUCGUGGAUCAGAAUGCCACGGUGAAUACGUUCCCGGGCCUUGUACACACCGCCCGUCACACCAUGGGAGUGGGUUGCAAAAGAAGUAGGUAGCUUAACCUUCGGGAGGGCGCUUACCACUUUGUGAUUCAUGACUGGGGUGAAGUCGUAACAAGGUAACCGUAGGGGAACCUGCGGUUGGAUCACCUCCUUA
This 1542-nucleotide ribosomal RNA is filed under the name Salmonella enterica subsp. enterica serovar 4,[5],12:i:-. RNAcentral describes it as "bacterial SSU rRNA". It matches the Rfam family "Bacterial small subunit ribosomal RNA". The record is from RNAcentral. Lineage: Bacteria; Pseudomonadati; Pseudomonadota; Gammaproteobacteria; Enterobacterales; Enterobacteriaceae.